Long non-coding RNA from Eriocheir sinensis (Chinese mitten crab), 2242 nucleotides. RefSeq lists it as uncharacterized. Lineage: Eukaryota; Metazoa; Arthropoda; Malacostraca; Decapoda; Varunidae. The record is from RefSeq and is a predicted model, not a curated record. The transcript has 2 exons.
UUUUUCUUGUGCCCUUGAGCUGCCUCCUUUGUUGUAAAAAAAAAAUAUAUAUAUAUAUAUAUAUAUAUAUAUAUAUAUAUAUAUAUAUAUAUAUAUAUAUAUAUAUAUAUAUAUAUAUAUAUAUAUAUAUAUAUAUAUAUAUAUAUAUAUAUAUAUAUACCUUAUUCUUAAUGUAUUUUUACUGUCGAUUAACGAUGAAAACAUUACCAGUUAUAAUGUUGGGUUGUACUUUCCCUACAACACAUUUCCCUCCACCUUCAGGCUGUCUGAUGGGCAGCUCACCUCCUCCUUCAGAGCCGCCCAACACACUCUAGUAUUCAGGAAAGCAAUGGUAGUGGAUGUCUGCCAAUUUAUAAGCCCCAUUUUGAUAGUUCUCCUGACAGUUGAUUGAAAGGUGCUUACAGAUUAGCAAACAUAUCCUUGCCACCUUUCCCCUCUCAUUACAGGUAACUUAGAGCUCUCCCACAACCACAUUAGCAACCUUCAGUAACUUAACAAGGUACAGUAACUCAAUAUAAUGGAUGGAAGCCACUCUUCGUACUUGUAGGCAACACAAUAAUGAGUGGUACAUACUCACUACACUCGUGUUAAAAAUGGUUUCUUCCUCUCUUCUCCCGCAAUACACAGAGGCCUGACCUGUCACCACACAGCUCCUGGUAGGUCAACACUGGGUAUGAUUUAUGGCAUGCCGUGGGCGAGGGACAGACCUCCACAGUAUGGCUGGGCUGGGAAGACGGACAACCAUGGCUAGGUACACAAGAUGAUCAGAUCUCACUGGCUGCUCAGCACACAGAACAAAACAAAAUCAUAAAGGGUUCAGGGUGUAGAUUCUUUGGUAUGCAACAAAGGUGUGAAGACCCAGGACAACAGCACUGACAGGAACGUAAUGUUAGCCUUUACAAACUUCUGGGCAUGUGAGGUUUGUAUUUAAUUAUACUUGAAAUAUAAACAAAUAAAACAAUGUCACUUGAAUAGGCUGUAGGAGGCAGGACGAUCACUGCCCAUAACCUGAUCCACUUGACUUCAGAAUACCCUAAGAGUUACCUUUGGCACUAGUUUACUGAUCUCUCCUCUGCAGGGUCCUUAACAAACACCCCUGAUAAUUUUAUGCUUGCUUCCUUCUGUGUGUGCAUUUUGAGCAGUAACGUCCCAAGAAACUCCUCAGUCAACAUUUUCACAUAAGCGCUUCAUACAAAAAUACAAUGUGCUAGACUUGUGCAGCACUGAGAGUUUUGUGUCUUGUUUGUGCUGCAAGCAAACCACACAUCAGCAGUGAGGUUAGACACCGGGAAACUGUUCAUUGUCGCACUUCAGACAUGACCGGUGCACAUAUACACACACACUGCAUCGAGGGACACUGCCCAAAUCAUUACAAAAAACCUGCAUUGCAUAGCGUAUGGGGAAAUUAUAAACACACACACACACGCUCACACACAUCCAUACAAAAAUAAAAUGGUUAUAUAUAAUUAUGUACAUACACUAACACACUGGUACAGCCUUCCAGAAAGUCAGAAUUUGUGUAUGAUUAUCACAUCAAUCAGUGUUGUGUCGCAGAGAUGAGGGAUGGGCCCAGUGCAUUCCCAUCUCCCUCCAUUACACUGCUGCUGAGGGUGUGAGGGAACCAAAUAGAAGGUGCAGGAGGUGGACAGGCUUAGCUACCGACAGGAAGAUUAGAAACUUGCAUGUGGCACCCAAAUCAGAGGUUCGUUGAGUCAAAUACGUAUCAAUCAUCAGAGGAAAAAAAAGAGACUCAUAUAAUAGGGUAUGAGGGAACCAAAUAAGAGGUGCAGGAGGUGGACUGACUUAGCUACCAACAGGAAGGGAUCAGAAACUUGCAUGUGACACCCUCAUUAGUGGUUCGUUGACUCAAAUACAUAUCACCGAAGGAAAAUUACCAAGAAAUAAAAAAAUACAAAUUAACAAAGGCAAAUCUGGCCGAACGACUCCUCAAAUAAUACUCUGAAUAGAUCCGUGGAAGUACAUACAUCAAUUAAAUGAAUAGGGAAGAAAUAACUUGAAUUAUUACUCAACGCACUAGAGGAGACAAAACUCAACCCAAGAGCUGCCGAUAUUAAAGUCAAACUAGUUCUCGCCAAUGCACCAACGGAGAAGAAACACAAGAUCAAGAUCGAGAUAUACGAACGGAGUCUUUCAAACCAAACUGGAAAAGAAUAACAUGAAAUAACACUCACCAACGCACCAGAGUACACAAAACCUAAGGAAAGCUGCCGAUAUUCCGAUA